UUAACUGAAGCCAAAAAAGAGGUAAAUCACUGUUAAUGAUUAAAUUGAAUAUUUAUUCCAGUUAAA
RNAcentral lists this transfer RNA (66 nucleotides) under Scaphidium formosanum. Its description in RNAcentral is "tRNA-Asn". The record is from RNAcentral. Lineage: Eukaryota; Metazoa; Arthropoda; Insecta; Coleoptera; Staphylinidae.